UACAAUAUUUAAAUUUUCUAAAAUGUAAAAAGACAUUUAUACAAAAGAAAGACGAUAAGACCCUAUUGAACUUAACUGUAGUUAAACUGGGGCAGUAAAUUAAUUAUUAUUUUAAUGUAAAUUAAUAUCUAAAUAUCUAAUAAAAUUAAAUAAUUCAGUUACCAUAGGGAUAACAGCAUAAUAACUUUUUAAAGAUCUUAUUAAAAAAGUAGAUUAUGACCUCGAUGUUGAAUUAAUAACCUAAUUAAAGCAAAAAUUAAAACAGGAAGUCUGUUCGACUUUUAAAAAAUUACAUGAUUUGAGUUCAGACCGGUGCAAGCCAGGUCGGUUUCUAUCUUCUAAAUAAUUUUUUACAGUACGAAAGGACCUAAAAAUAUAAUU
This 381-nucleotide ribosomal RNA is filed under the name Habronattus ustulatus. Its description in RNAcentral is "partial 16S ribosomal RNA". The stretch from base 46 to 340 matches the Rfam family "Bacterial large subunit ribosomal RNA", at positions 2074 to 2646 of the family's 2925-position model. The record is from RNAcentral. Lineage: Eukaryota; Metazoa; Arthropoda; Arachnida; Araneae; Salticidae.